RNAcentral lists this ribosomal RNA (459 nucleotides) under uncultured bacterium. RNAcentral's name for it is "partial 16S ribosomal RNA". It matches the Rfam family "Bacterial small subunit ribosomal RNA", at positions 338 to 795 of the family's 1533-position model. The record is from RNAcentral.
CCUACGGGUGGCAGCAGUGAGGAAUAUUGGUCAAUGGACGAGAGUCUGAACCAGCCAAGUAGCGUGAAGGAUGACUGCCCUAUGGGUUGUAAACUUCUUUUAUAUGGGAAUAAAACGUUCCACGUGUGGGAUUUUGUAUGUACCAUAUGAAUAAGGAUAGCCUAACUCGGUGCCAGCAGCCGAGGUAAUACGGAGGAUGCGAGUGUUAUGCGGAUUUCGUGGGGUUAAAGGGUGCGCAGGCGGAUUUUUAAGUCAGCGGUAAAAUCGUGGGGCUCAACCCCAUACAGCCGUUGAAACUGGGGUUGUAGAGUUUGCGAGAGGUAUGCGGAAUGCGUGGUGUAGCGGUGAAAUGCAUAGAGAUCACGCAGAACCCCGAUUGCGAAGGCAGCAUACCGGUGCACAACUGACGCUCAGGCACGAAAGCGUGGGUAUCGAACAGGAUUAGAUACCCCAGUAGUC